Molecule: long non-coding RNA, 274 nt
Filed under: Vigna radiata
Lineage: Eukaryota; Viridiplantae; Streptophyta; Magnoliopsida; Fabales; Fabaceae
Description: long non-coding RNA (VRAD_LNC007255)
Source: RNAcentral
AUCCCUCUCAACCCUUUCUCUUUCAUCUCUUUCACUCCAACCUUUUAUUUGUCAUCCCUACUCUAGCUCCAAUUGAAAAAAAAUCAGAAACACUUGCCUUGUUUUAAUAAUUUUCAUUCUCAAAACUAAAAAAAGAAAACCCCAAACCCUUACUCACCUCCUUCAUUCCUCUCACCCCUUUCUCCUUCAUCUCUCUCACUCAAACAUUUUCUCUAUCAUCUCUGCACUAGCCCCAACUAAAAAAACACUCAUUAUUAAAGGAUUUACUUUUGUA